Molecule: ribosomal RNA, 467 nt
Filed under: uncultured bacterium
Lineage: Bacteria
Description: partial 16S ribosomal RNA
Rfam family: Bacterial small subunit ribosomal RNA
Source: RNAcentral
ACGAACGCUGGCGGCGUGCUUAACACAUGCAAGUCGCACGGAAAGGCCCUGCUUUUGUGGGGUGCUCGAGUGGCGAACGGGUGAGUAACACGUGAGUAACCUGCCCUUGACUUUGGGAUAACUUCAGGAAACUGGGGCUAAUACCGGAUAGGAGCUCCUGCUGCAUGGUGGGGGUUGGAAAGUUUCGGCGGUUGGGGAUGGACUCGCGGCUUAUCAGCUUGUUGGUGGGGUAGUGGCUUACCAAGGCUUUGACGGAUAGCCGGCCUGAGAGGGUGACCGGCCACAUUGGGACUGAGAUACGGCCCAGACUCCUACGGGAGGCAGCAGUGGGGAAUAUUGCACAAUGGGCGGAAGCCUGAUGCAGCAACGCCGCGUGCGGGAUGACGGCCUUCGGGUUGUAAACCGCUUUCGCCUGUGACGAAGCGGGAGUGACGGUAAUGGGUAAAGAAGCACCGGCUAACUACGUG